This is a non-coding RNA of Citrus sinensis (sweet orange), 89 nucleotides long. NCBI's taxonomy places the organism in Eukaryota, Viridiplantae, Streptophyta, Magnoliopsida, Sapindales, Rutaceae. The record is from Rfam.
UGGCCUAUGAGGAUAUCAUUCAAAACAUACCAUCUUUCGGGACUGAAUGGCUUUUUAAGCCUUGCUGUCAUUCUGCAAUUCUGAGGCCC